Long non-coding RNA from Sinocyclocheilus rhinocerous, 975 nucleotides. RefSeq lists it as uncharacterized. The record is from RefSeq and is a predicted model, not a curated record. NCBI's taxonomy places the organism in Eukaryota, Metazoa, Chordata, Actinopteri, Cypriniformes, Cyprinidae. The transcript is spliced from 2 exons.
UCUCACAUGAUCCUUCAGAAAUCAUUCUAAUACGCUGAUUUGGUGCUCAAGAAGCAUUUCCUGUUGUAACGUGAUACAUUUCCCCCCCCCCAGUAUUCUUUGAUAAAUAGAAAGAACAUCAUUUAUUUGAAAUAGUCAAUCUAAGAACUAAGAAAAACACAAAGUUCAUAAAAAUAAUAUGCUUUAAUUGUCAUUGUAUUGAGCAUACAGAAGUGAAGCUUAAUGUUUAAUCAUUUAAUUGGAAUCAUCCAUAUGUGAUGCUGUAUUUUUGAUGGUUUGCGAGCAUCAUAUUUGAAGAUGAAUCAAAAUAAUCAAAUUCAUGUCAAAAAUGAUUAAACUUGCUCUGCAAGUAAAUCACAUUUGUGUCAAAUUCAAAAAGACUCAAUAAGUCUUAUUAUCGGGCCCUCGCUGUCAGAUCUGACACAUUGAUUUAAACAUUCAUUUUCAUUGCUACUGCCUGAUUCUUCGCUACUUAAAUUAAACCUUUAUGAUAUGUGAAACAGAAGCAGCAGCUUUGUAUUAUAAGCUUGUAAAAUUCAUUAAGUGCACUAAAACACACCUUUGUAAUAUUUACUUUUAACAGUAUGUAAAGUCGUACCUCAUAAAGUUUAAAAAUACAUUUUGUGUAUUUACACAAUUAGAUUCACAACUGAUGUUUUUACGAUGUUUUAUAGACAACUAGUGAAAGAAAAACUUGAUUCCUACAAAAAAAGUCAGACAUGAGAAGAAAAAAAUUGCCUGAAUCUGAAUACCUUCAUGAAUUUAAAGGGAUAGUUCAUUGUGAUGACAGGUCAGCUGAGAACAGAUGAAUGAUAUCAAGGCCACUGGAAUUAGUUUUCUCUGUGAACGCAUGUCCCAACAGUGGAGACACUGAGUAACGGGACAUUGCUCAGUAAAACACACCCAUGACAGCACUUGAUGUAAAUAAGUCUGAAGGACAAUUGCGCAUUACCUGUCGGCUUAAGUGAAAGAAAA